This 253-nucleotide ribosomal RNA is filed under the name uncultured bacterium. RNAcentral's name for it is "partial 16S ribosomal RNA". It matches the Rfam family "Bacterial small subunit ribosomal RNA", at positions 524 to 776 of the family's 1533-position model. The record is from RNAcentral.
UACGUAGGGGGCAAGCGUUGUCCGGAAUCAUUGGGCGUAAAGAGCGUGUAGGCGGCCCGAUAAGUCCGCUGUGAAAGUCCAGGGCUCAACCCUGGAAUGCCAGUGGAAACUGUCGGGCUGGAGUCCGGAAGGGGCGAGUGGAAUUCCUGGUGUAGCGGUGAAAUGCGCAGAUAUCAGGAGGAACACCAAUGGCGAAGGCAGCUCGCUGGGACGGUACUGACGCUGAGACGCGAAAGCGUGGGGAGCAAACAGG